RNAcentral lists this ribosomal RNA (496 nucleotides) under uncultured bacterium. RNAcentral describes it as "partial 16S ribosomal RNA". It matches the Rfam family "Bacterial small subunit ribosomal RNA", at positions 28 to 506 of the family's 1533-position model. The record is from RNAcentral.
GAUGAACGCUGGCGGCGUGCCUAAUACAUGCAAGUCGAGCGAACGGACGAGAAGCUUGCUUCUCUGAUGUUAGCGGCGGAGGGGAGAGUAACACGUGGAUAACCUACCUAUAAGACUGGGAUAACUUCGGGAAACCGGAGCUAAUACCGGAGAAUAUUUUGCACCGCAUGGGUCAAAAGUGAAAGACGGUCUUGCGGUAAGUUAUAGAUGGAUCCGCGCUGGAUUAGCUAGUUGGUAAGGUAACGGCUUACCAAGGCAACGAUGCAUAGCCGACCUGAGAGGGUGAUCGGCCACACUGCAGCUGAGACGCGGUCCAGACUCCUACGUGAGGCAGCAGUAGGGAAUCUACCGCAAUGGGCGAAAGCCUGACGGAGCAACGCCGCGUGAGUGAUGAAGGGCUUCGGAUCGUAAAACUCUGUUAUUAGGGAAGAACAUAUGUGUAUGUAACGGUGCACAUCUUGACGGUACCGAAUCAGAAAGCCACGGCUAACUACUU